This 763-nucleotide ribosomal RNA is filed under the name uncultured organism. RNAcentral describes it as "bacterial SSU rRNA". It matches the Rfam family "Bacterial small subunit ribosomal RNA", at positions 117 to 881 of the family's 1533-position model. The record is from RNAcentral.
GUUUGUAACCUACCUCUGACUGGAGGAUAGCCCGAAGAAAUUCGGAUUAAUACUCCAUAAUACUAUGGACAGGCAUCUGUUCAUGGUUAAAGCCCCGGCGGUCAGAGAUGGGCAUGCGUGACAUUAGCUUGUUGGUGAGGUAACAGCUCACCAAGGCUACGAUGUCUAGGGGGUCUGAGAGGAUGGUCCCCCACACUGGUACUGAGACACGGACCAGACUCCUACGGGAGGCAGCAGUGAGGAAUAUUGGUCAAUGGGCGAAAGCCUGAACCAGCCAUGCCGCGUGAAGGAUGACAGCCCUAUGGGUUGUAAACUUCUUUUGUACGGGAAGAAACGCUUCUACGUGUAGAGGUUUGACGGUACCGUACGAAUAAGCAUCGGCUAACUCCGUGCCAGCAGCCGCGGUAAUACGGAGGAUGCAAGCGUUAUCCGGAUUUAUUGGGUUUAAAGGGUACGUAGGCGGGAGCUUAAGUCAGUGGUGAAAUCCUGCAGCUUAACUGUAGAACUGUCAUUGAUACUGGGCUUCUUGAAUGUAGUUGAGGUAGGCGGAAUGUGUAAUGUAGCGGUGGAAUGCUUAGAUAUUACACAGAACACCGAUUGCGAAGGCAGCUUACUAAACUACGAUUGACGCUGAGGUACGAAAGCGUGGGGAGCGAACAGGAUUAGAUACCCUGGUAGUCCACGCUGUAAACGAUGAUCACUCGUUGUUGGCAAUACACCGUCAGCGACUGAGCGAAAGCAUUAAGUGAUCCACCUGGGGAGU